CUUGGUUUCCAUGGCAACCUGCCCACCCAGAUCCCUGCAGCUGCAGCACCUGUGGGCCCCUGAGGUGGGGGCUGUGGGUGCCCUACUGGGCCCUGGGGCCGCAGUAGGCAGGAAGGAGUGCAGGCCUGAGGCAGGCUGCUCACUCGGAUUCAGAGCUUCGCCUGACACGGUUCCUAUGGGGACGGCUGUGGGCACAUGCUGCCUGUGAUCAGAUACCCGAAUUAAAACUGCUCUGUAAUUCUGGUAGCUCCUCUUUGGCUCAGGGCCUUUGGAAGAAAGACUGAGUUUUGGGUGCACUAGCCUCUCAAACCUUCCCCACCCCAACCAAAGGUAGAUUUGAGAACUUGGGACUAUGGGGCUUUCUAUUUCACGAAUGGAGCAUUCUCUCUGUGCCAGAGCCUACAGACACCAAGAUGACUGAAGUGCAGUCAACAUCCUUAGGGAGAGGCGAGAAAGACAGGCCAUAGAGCUGAAAAUUCCAACACAGUAUGGCCUGGCAACAGUGGAACUCAGGGUAAGAAACAGAGGAGGGAUCCUUCAGCUCUGGGAAAGUUCCAGAAUAAGAGGAAGCUUCGCUCCACGCAGAGGAAGGGGCUUCUGCAAACACUGGAUGAAAGAACAUCCUCUGUGAAGUCAGAGAGUAUGAGUGUUUUGGCCUUAGGGACUCAGUGUGUGAUAUGUGGCAUCACUCAGCCCUGGAAGGCAGGAAAGAGCUACUGAGCAUAUUUCUUAACCGUCUGCAAAGUAGCAGGGCCAAAAGAGAUCCAGAGUGUCUCCACAGGGACAUGGAGGGAAAAAAACUCAAUUCGGAGCUCUGGCAUGCGUCUUGGGGAAGCAGCUUUCUCACCUCCCAGCCUAAGCAUUCUCCCACCGAGCUUGGAAUGGUAAUGGGUGUCCACAAAGGGAAUGCUGGCAGACCACAGAGUGAAGGGAGAAGAUCCAGAGACUACGUCAGAAGCACUAAACCUACUAUGCUCUGGGGAGAGUCUAUGAACCAUUAGGAAAGGCACUUAGUGCAUUUCUCUGAGACACGGGAGCUGUGCAUCCUGACCUGGGCAUGCUGCAGCACAGGCAGAGAGGGCAGGGCAUCUGGAUGUGGUGCUGGGUUCCUUCAUCAGCAAUGACCUUCUGCAGUAAGCUGUUCUGGGCUAUGGAGGAAGGGUGAGGCCACAAAGGAUGGUGAGAGCCAGGGAGAAUCACACUAAUGGUAAGAAUGAUGCCAGCUGACACUGGUUCUUGCCAUGGGUAAAGAGCCUUACAGGAUCAUCUUAUUAAUUCCCAG
Molecule: long non-coding RNA, 1282 nt
Filed under: Macaca mulatta (Rhesus monkey)
Lineage: Eukaryota; Metazoa; Chordata; Mammalia; Primates; Cercopithecidae
Description: lncRNA (ENSMMUG00000057773.1)
Source: RNAcentral